GGUUAGCCUUUUUUUCUAGGUCUAUACCCGAACUCAUAUCGAACUCGAGAGUCCUUAUCUAGAAAGCCACACAUACUAAUUAUUAUUGGGAACCAUGGCU
RNAcentral lists this ribosomal RNA (100 nucleotides) under Petalonia binghamiae. Lineage: Eukaryota; Phaeophyceae; Ectocarpales; Scytosiphonaceae. The record is from RNAcentral.